Hypoxylon sp. CI-4A is the source of this 99-nucleotide non-coding RNA. The record is from the annotation of a GenBank genome assembly. NCBI's taxonomy places the organism in Eukaryota, Fungi, Ascomycota, Sordariomycetes, Xylariales, Hypoxylaceae.
UCUCGAUUCGUCUAGUGGUUAGGAUACCUGCUUGUCAUCAAGGCUCACGAUAGUGUCUAUAGCGCGCAGGUGGCCGGGGUUCAAUUCCCCGAUCGAGAG